This 497-nucleotide ribosomal RNA is filed under the name uncultured bacterium. RNAcentral's name for it is "partial 16S ribosomal RNA". It matches the Rfam family "Bacterial small subunit ribosomal RNA", at positions 28 to 507 of the family's 1533-position model. The record is from RNAcentral.
GAUGAACGCUGGCGGCGUGCCUAAUACAUGCAAGUCGAGCGGACGGACGAGAAGCUUGCUUCUCUGAUGUUAGCGGCGGACGGGUGAGUAACACGUGGAUAACCUACCUAUAAGACUGGGAUAACCUCGGGAAACCGGAGCUAAUACCGGAUAAUAUUUUGAACCGCAUGGUUCAAAAGUGAAAGACGGUCUUGCUGUCACUUAUAGAUGGAUCCGCGCUGCAUUAGCUAGUUGGUAAGGUAACGGCUUACCAAGGCAACGAUGCAUAGCCGACCUGAGAGGGUGAUCGGCCACACUGGAACUGAGACACGGUCCAGACUCCUACGGGAGGCAGCAGUAGGGAAUCUUCCGCAAUGGGCGAAAGCCUGACGGAGCAACGCCGCGUGAGUGAUGAAGGUCUUCGGAUCGUAAAACUCUGUUAUUAGGGAAGAACAUAUGUGUAAGUAACUGUGCACAUCUUGACGUUACCUAAUCAGAAAGCCACGGCUAACUACGUG